This 435-nucleotide ribosomal RNA is filed under the name uncultured bacterium. Its description in RNAcentral is "partial 16S ribosomal RNA". It matches the Rfam family "Bacterial small subunit ribosomal RNA", at positions 29 to 507 of the family's 1533-position model. The record is from RNAcentral.
AGCGAACGCUGGCGGCAGGCUUAACACAUGCAAGUCGAACGGGCAUCUUCGGAUGUCAGUGGCAGACGGGUGAGUAACACGUGGGAACGUACCCUUCGGUUCGGAAUAACUCAGGGAAACUUGAGCUAAUACCGGAUACGCCCUUUUGGGGAAAGGUUUACUGCCGAAGGAUCGGCCCGCGUCUGAUUAGCUUGUUGGUGGGGUAACGGCCUACCAAGGCGACGAUCAGUAGCUGGUCUGAGAGGAUGAUCAGCCACACUGGGACUGAGACACGGCCCAGACUCCUACGGGAGGCAGCAGUGGGGAAUAUUGGACAAUGGGCGCAAGCCUGAUCCAGCCAUGCCGCGUGAGUGACGAAGGCCUUAGGGUUGUAAAGCUCUUUUGUCCGGGACGAUAAUGACGGUACCGGAAGAAUAAGCCCCGGCUAACUUCGUG